GGGCCCGCACAAGCGGAGGAACAUGUGGUUUAAUUCGAUGAUACGCGAGGAACCUUACCCGGGCUUGAAUUGCAUUUGAAUGGCGUGGAAACAUGUCAGCCAGCAAUGGCAAAUGUGAAGGUGCUGCAUGGUUGUCGUCAGCUCGUGCCGUGAGGUGUCGGCUUAAGUGCCAUAACGAGCGCAACCCUCAUCAAUAGUUACUAACAGGUCAUGCUGAGGACUCUAUUGAGACUGCCGGCGUAAGCUGUGAGGAAGGUGGGGAUGACGUCAAAUCAGCACGGCCCUUACGUCCGGGGCGACACACGUGUUACAAUGGGGGGGACAGCAGGCAGCUAAGUGGUGACACCGCGCGAAUCCUCAAACCCUCUCUCAGUUCGGAUCGAAGUCUGCAACCCGACUUCGUGAAGCUGGAUUCGCUAGUAAUCGCGCAUCAGCCAUGGCGCGGUGAAUACGUUCCCGGGCCUU
Molecule: ribosomal RNA, 465 nt
Filed under: uncultured bacterium
Lineage: Bacteria
Description: bacterial SSU rRNA
Rfam family: Bacterial small subunit ribosomal RNA
Source: RNAcentral